RNAcentral lists this ribosomal RNA (762 nucleotides) under Triticum aestivum (bread wheat). RNAcentral's name for it is "partial small subunit ribosomal RNA". The record is from RNAcentral. Lineage: Eukaryota; Viridiplantae; Streptophyta; Magnoliopsida; Poales; Poaceae.
AUGUUUGCCCAAUCCAUCCGCAAGAACAGAAAUGUCAAGGAAGCUUUGACAGCAGACCGAUGGAUCCUCGACCUCCGCAACAGCGGCGACUACAGCACCAUCGUCCACCAAGUCGUACAGCUGGCGAGAGAGAUCAGAGGGGCUCAUAUCAACCUGGAGCCCCAGAACCCGGACACAAUCAAAUGGAAGCUAUGCAGCUCGGGAAACUACUCGGCAAGGUCGGCGUAUCUCGCACAAUUCGACAGCAAUCAGCCAUGCAGCUUCAAAAGCAUCAUUUGGAAGAUCUGGGCCCCAGGGAAAGUGAAAAUGUUCCUUUGGCUACUGCACCUAGACAGACUCUGGUGCAACGACCGUCUUCAGAGGAGAGGAUGGCCGAAUGGCUACUUCUGCUCCUUGUGCCUGCUGAGCCUGGAGACAUCGCGGCAUCUGGUCUGGGAGUGCCCCGUGGCACCACAGGUAUGGAACACCGUGGCUUCAUGGACGGGGUGCAGCUCUUUGCACCAGCGGGUGUGGAACAGUGAUUCGACGACAACGGCCAGAGUGCAGAAGAUUGUGGCUGUCGCUGCACCAGAGCACAGGAAGGGCACGAAAACCAUGAUUGCCAUCGUCUCAUGGCACAUCUGGUUAGAAAGGAAUGCCUGUGUUUUCAGGGGCAAACAGGCAAACGCGCGACACAUCAUCAAAGCAUGCCAGAGCGACAUGGAGCAAUGGCGACUCGCCGGUGCAAGAUGCAUUCAGCAGCCCUUUGGGGAAGUGACGUGA